GACGAACGCUGGCGGCGUGCCUAAUACAUGCCAGUUGAGCGCUGAAGGUUGGUACUUGUACCAACUGGAUGAGCAGCGAACGGGUGAGUAACGCGUGGGGAAUCUGCCUUUGAGCGGGGGACAACAUUUGGAAACGAAUGCUAAUACCGCAUAAAAACUUUAAACACAAGUUUUAAGUUUGAAAGAUGCAAUUGCAUCACUCAAAGAUGAUCCCGCGUUGUAUUAGCUAGUUGGUGAGGUAAAGGCUCACCAAGGCGAUGAUACAUAGCCGACCUGAGAGGGUGAUCGGCCACAUUGGGACUGAGACACGGCCCAAACUCCUACGGGAGGCAGCGGUAGGGAAUCUUCGGCAAUGGACGAAAGUCUGACCGAGCAACGCCGCGUGAGUGAAGAAGGUUUUCGGAUCGUAAAACUCUGUUGGUAGAGAAGAACGUUGGUGAGAGUGGAAAGCUCAUCAAGUGACGGUAACUACCCAGAAAGGGACGGCUAACUACGUG
This 497-nucleotide ribosomal RNA is filed under the name uncultured bacterium. RNAcentral's name for it is "partial 16S ribosomal RNA". It matches the Rfam family "Bacterial small subunit ribosomal RNA", at positions 28 to 507 of the family's 1533-position model. The record is from RNAcentral.